GAUGAACGCUGGCGGCGUGCUUAACACAUGCAAGUCGAACGAUGAAGCCAGCUUGCUGGUGGAUUAGUGGCGAACGGGUGAGUAACACGUGAGUAACCUGCCCUUAACUCUGGGAUAAGCCUGGGAAACUGGGUCUAAUACCGGAUAUGACCUCCCAUCGCAUGGUGGGGGGUGGAAAGCUUUUGUGGGUUUGGAUGGACUCGCGGCCUAUCAGCUUGUUGGUGAGGUAAUGGCUCACCAAGGCGGCGACGGGUAGCCGGCCUGAGAGGGUGACCGGCCACACUGGGACUGAGACACGGCCCAGACUCCUACGGGAGGCAGCAGUGGGGAAUAUUGCACAAUGGGCGGAGGCCUGAUGCAGCGACGCCGCGUGAGGGAUGACGGCCUUCGGGUUGCAAACCUCUUUCAGUAGGGAAGAAGCGUAAGUGACGGUACCUGCAGAAGAAGCGCCGGCUAACUACGUGCCAGCAGCCGCCGUAA
Molecule: ribosomal RNA, 480 nt
Filed under: uncultured bacterium
Lineage: Bacteria
Description: partial 16S ribosomal RNA
Rfam family: Bacterial small subunit ribosomal RNA
Source: RNAcentral